GGGCCUUUAGCACAAUGGUUAGUGCAGUCGGCUCAUAACCGACCGGUUCCGGGUUCAAGUCCCGGGAGGCCCACCA
Molecule: transfer RNA, 76 nt
Filed under: Clostridia bacterium
Lineage: Bacteria; Bacillati; Bacillota; Clostridia
Description: tRNA-Ile
Rfam family: tRNA
About the family: Transfer RNA (tRNA) molecules are approximately 80 nucleotides in length. Their secondary structure includes four short double-helical elements and three loops (D, anti-codon, and T loops). Further hydrogen bonds mediate the characteristic L-shaped molecular structure. tRNAs have two regions of fundamental functional importance: the anti-codon, which is responsible for specific mRNA codon recognition, and the 3' end, to which the tRNAs corresponding amino acid is attached (by aminoacyl-tRNA synthetases). tRNAs cope with the degeneracy of the genetic code in two manners: having more than one tRNA (with a specific anti-codon) for a particular amino acid; and 'wobble' base-pairing, i.e. permitting non-standard base-pairing at the 3rd anti-codon position.
Source: RNAcentral